Molecule: ribosomal RNA, 2556 nt
Filed under: Escherichia coli
Lineage: Bacteria; Pseudomonadati; Pseudomonadota; Gammaproteobacteria; Enterobacterales; Enterobacteriaceae
Description: partial 23S ribosomal RNA
Rfam family: Bacterial large subunit ribosomal RNA
Source: RNAcentral
UGCACAUAUUGUGAGCUCGAUGAGUAGGGCGGGACACGUGGUAUCCUGUCUGAAUAUGGGGGGACCAUCCUCCAAGGCUAAAUACUCCUGACUGACCGAUAGUGAACCAGUACCGUGAGGGAAAGGCGAAAAGAACCCCGGCGAGGGGAGUGAAAAAGAACCUGAAACCGUGUACGUACAAGCAGUGGGAGCCUCUUAAUGGGGUGACUGCGUACCUUUUGUAUAAUGGGUCAGCGACUUAUAUUCUGUAGCAAGGUUAACCGAAUAGGGGAGCCGAAGGGAAACCGAGUCUUAACUGGGCGUUAAGUUGCAGGGUAUAGACCCGAAACCCGGUGAUCUAGCCAUGGGCAGGUUGAAGGUUGGGUAACACUAACUGGAGGACCGAACCGACUAAUGUUGAAAAAUUAGCGGAUGACUUGUGGCUGGGGGUGAAAGGCCAAUCAAACCGGGAGAUAGCUGGUUCUCCCCGAAAGCUAUUUAGGUAGCGCCUCGUGAAUUCAUCUCCGGGGGUAGAGCACUGUUUCGGCAAGGGGGUCAUCCCGACUUACCAACCCGAUGCAAACUGCGAAUACCGGAGAAUGUUAUCACGGGAGACACACGGCGGGUGCUAACGUCCGUCGUGAAGAGGGAAACAACCCAGACCGCCAGCUAAGGUCCCAAAGUCAUGGUUAAGUGGGAAACGAUGUGGGAAGGCCCAGACAGCCAGGAUGUUGGCUUAGAAGCAGCCAUCAUUUAAAGAAAGCGUAAUAGCUCACUGGUCGAGUCGGCCUGCGCGGAAGAUGUAACGGGGCUAAACCAUGCACCGAAGCUGCGGCAGCGACACUAUGUGUUGUUGGGUAGGGGAGCGUUCUGUAAGCCUGUGAAGGUGUACUGUGAGGUAUGCUGGAGGUAUCAGAAGUGCGAAUGCUGACAUAAGUAACGAUAAAGCGGGUGAAAAGCCCGCUCGCCGGAAGACCAAGGGUUCCUGUCCAACGUUAAUCGGGGCAGGGUGAGUCGACCCCUAAGGCGAGGCCGAAAGGCGUAGUCGAUGGGAAACAGGUUAAUAUUCCUGUACUUGGUGUUACUGCGAAGGGGGGACGGAGAAGGCUAUGUUGGCCGGGCGACGGUUGUCCCGGUUUAAGCGUGUAGGCUGGUUUUCCAGGCAAAUCCGGAAAAUCAAGGCUGAGGCGUGAUGACGAGGCACUACGGUGCUGAAGCGACAAAUGCCCUGCUUCCAGGAAAAGCCUCUAAGCAUCAGGUAACAUCAAAUCGUACCCCAAACCGACACAGGUGGUCAGGUAGAGAAUACCAAGGCGCUUGAGAGAACUCGGGUGAAGGAACUAGGCAAAAUGGUGCCGUAACUUCGGGAGAAGGCACGCUGAUAUGUAGGUGAAGCGACUUGCUCGUGGAGCUGAAAUCAGUCGAAGAUACCAGCUGGCUGCAACUGUUUAUUAAAAACACAGCACUGUGCAAACACGAAAGUGGACGUAUACGGUGUGACGCCUGCCCGGUGCCGGAAGGUUAAUUGAUGGGGUUAGCGGUAACGCGAAGCUCUUGAUCGAAGCCCCGGUAAACGGCGGCCGUAACUAUAACGGUCCUAAGGUAGCGAAAUUCCUUGUCGGGUAAGUUCCGACCUGCACGAAUGGCGUAAUGAUGGCCAGGCUGUCUCCACCCGAGACUCAGUGAAAUUGAACUCGCUGUGAAGAUGCAGUGUACCCGCGGCAAGACGGAAAGACCCCGUGAACCUUUACUAUAGCUUGACACUGAACAUUGAGCCUUGAUGUGUAGGAUAGGUGGGAGGCUUUGAAGUGUGGACGCCAGUCUGCAUGGAGCCGACCUUGAAAUACCACCCUUUAAUGUUUGAUGUUCUAACGUGGGCCCCUUACCGGGGUUGCGGACAGUGUCUGGUGGGUAGUUUGACUGGGGCGGUCUCCUCCUAAAGAGUAACGGAGGAGCACGAAGGUUGGCUAAUCCUGGUCGGACAUCAGGAGGUUAGUGCAAUGGCAUAAGCCAGCUUGACUGCGAGCGUGACGGCGCGAGCAGGUGCGAAAGCAGGUCAUAGUGAUCCGGUGGUUCUGAAUGGAAGGGCCAUCGCUCAACGGAUAAAAGGUACUCCGGGGAUAACAGGCUGAUACCGCCCAAGAGUUCAUAUCGACGGCGGUGUUUGGCACCUCGAUGUCGGCUCAUCACAUCCUGGGGCUGAAGUAGGUCCCAAGGGUAUGGCUGUUCGCCAUUUAAAGUGGUACGCGAGCUGGGUUUAGAACGUCGUGAGACAGUUCGGUCCCUAUCUGCCGUGGGCGCUGGAGAACUGAGGGGGGCUGCUCCUAGUACGAGAGGACCGGAGUGGACGCAUCACUGGUGUUCGGGUUGUCAUGCCAAUGGCACUGCCCGGUAGCUAAAUGCGGAAGAGAUAAGUGCUGAAAGCAUCUAAGCACGAAACUUGCCCCGAGAUGAGUUCUCCCUGACUCCUUGAGAGUCCUGAAGGAACGUUGAAGACGACGACGUUGAUAGGCCGGGUGUGUAAGCGCAGCGAUGCGUUGAGCUAACCGGUACUAAUGAACCGUGAGGCUUAACCUU